CCUACGGGAGGCAGCAGUGAGGAAUAUUGGUCAAUGGCCGGAAGGCUGAACCAGCCAUGCCGCGUGAAGGUCAGUGCCCUAUGGGCGUUAAACUUCUUUUGUGCGGGAGCAAUAAUGGUCACGUGUGGCCAGACGAGAGUACCGUACGAAUAAGAGUCGGCUAACUACGUGCCAGCAGCCGUGGUAAGACGGGAGAUGCAAGCGUUAUCCGGAUUUAUGGGGGUUAAAGGGUGCGUAGGCUGUGAGGUAAGUCAGCGGUGAAAGGCCCCCGCUCAACGGGGUGAAGUGCCAUUGAUACUGCCUUGCUGGAAUGCGGAUGCCGUGGGAGGAAUUGGUGGUGUAGCGGUGAAAUGCAUAGAUAUCACACAGAACACCGAUUGCGAAGGCAUCUCACGAAUCCGCGAUUGACGCUGAUGCACGAAAGCGUGGGUAUCAAACAGGAUUAGAUACCCGAGUAGUC
This 460-nucleotide ribosomal RNA is filed under the name uncultured bacterium. Its description in RNAcentral is "partial 16S ribosomal RNA". It matches the Rfam family "Bacterial small subunit ribosomal RNA", at positions 338 to 795 of the family's 1533-position model. The record is from RNAcentral.